GACGAACGCUGGCGGCGUGCUUAACACAUGCAAGUCGAACGGUGAAGCUCCAGCUUGCUGGAGUGGAUCAGUGGCGAACGGGUGAGUAACACGUGAGCAACCUGCCCCUGACUCUGGAAUAAGCGCUGGAAACGGCGUCUAAUACUGGAUACGAGAAGGGUCCGCAUGGGCACUUUCUGGAAAGUUUGUCGGUUGGGGAUGGGCUCGCGGCCUAUCAGCUUGUUGGUGAGGUAAUGGCUCACCAAGGCGACGACGGGUAGCCGGCCUGAGAGGGCGACCGGCCACACUGGGAAGGGGAUACGGCCGAGACUCGUACGGGAGGCAGCAGAGGGGAAGAGAGCACAAUGGGCGGAGGCCGAAUGCAGCAACGCCGCGUGCGGGAUGACGGCCGUCGGGUUGUAAACCGCGUGCGCCUGUGACGAAGCGUGAGUGACGGUAAUGGGUAAAGAAGCACCGGCUAACUACGUG
RNAcentral lists this ribosomal RNA (468 nucleotides) under uncultured bacterium. RNAcentral describes it as "partial 16S ribosomal RNA". It matches the Rfam family "Bacterial small subunit ribosomal RNA", at positions 28 to 507 of the family's 1533-position model. The record is from RNAcentral.